GUUUUCUGGAGGAAAAAAAAAAAAAGAAAAUAGGUCAUUUACACAGUUACACAUUUUUAUAAUUAAUUGAAACUUAGGUGGGUUUCCUAUUUGUUUGUGGAUUUUUAAUUUAUUUUUUGGUUUCUCAAGCCAAAUUACCAGCCCUAUGAGUGCUAUAAACUGUCCAGCGCAGGAGUUCGCCUUACGGAGGAAAAAGCGCUGCAGAGCCCUCGAGAGGUGAACGUGGCCCAGAAACGAGCCGGUCCCAGAGCAUGAAGCGCUUUCCAACCCAGCAUUUGGGGCUGGGCGCUCAGCCGGGUGAGCAGAGCCUGCAAAUACUCAGAUUUGGAUUUUCUUCCUUUAUGGCAUUUGCUUUUUAAUGGAAAUUCUGUUUUCCUUCUUUUGUUUUCCUUCUUUUUUUUUCCAGAAGGCAGCCCGUGUUGCAUUGCACGCCUCUGUGAGACAGGGCAGGGAACACGGCACCACAGCACACCGUUAUCACAGGCACAGAACCUUCCAGAACAGUGUGUUAAAACAAAAUUGCAUUAAAAACAGUAAUAGAAGUAAAUCAAUAUAUGUUCUUGGAAAACUAUUCUUUCCUUUAGAAACAACCACAUUUCUUUUAAAAUUAUUUUUCUUUAUUUAGGGAAACAAGUAGUAAGCCACUUAUUUCCUUCAUAAAAAUAUUCCUAGUUAUAGUACCUAUCAACUGUGAUUUUUCACAUUAGGUAAGCUUAAGCCAGAGAAUAAAUAAAUAUUAAAAUGCCCACAGAAACUAAAGCUAACAAGAAUCCAUAUUCUUAUUCAUUAUACAAUGAAUCAUGAAUUCACCCAGCUAAACACGCAAGUACUGAUCUUGGAGAUGAUAGCGAAAUGAUAAUAUUGAGAAGCAUUUUGUAUAAUGUUGACAUCUCCCCCAUUCCUGUUUUACAUAUGCCAAUACCAAACACUCAUAAGGAAAGAACAGGUAUUGACCUGCUAACUGACGCUGAUCCUUGGAGCAAUCUCAAAGUUUGCCACAUUUCAAUUUCAAAAUGCAUUUCAGCUAUAAUAUGAGUGAUUUAUCAUUUAGCAGUAGCUGUCAAAGUAACCUCCUAGAUAAAACAAAAACAUCUGGAACCAUAAACAGAGAAGAGCAGUAGCUGAAUUUUAAUCCAAAUCCGACAUGUUCACUUCAUUAGGAACAGGAAACAGCUAAUUAGUAAUUGAAUUUUUCAUGGUUUUAAGGAGGCUCAGACUCUCCAAACUGAGCUGAUUUAAUACAUAUUUUGGAUGCAAACAAGAAUAAAGAUCAGAAGAGCCAGGGACGUAACAUCUCUGGAGGAAAAUCUGGGGGCAUGGGAACCCCCAAAGAAGUGACUAAAAUUAGUUUCAGACCUUUGGCUGAUUAAAAUUAUUGUCUUAAACUUUGUGGGCCAAAUGUUCAAUCCUGAGGAGGGGGCCAGUAGAAACAGAAAUACUGAACACUGUGGUUCGCUUUUUCUAUUUCUCCAUCAGAUUAUUAGGAAGUUGUACGUGAUAUCUUCCUAUCACAGGCUGCAGGUGAUUUAGCCCAUAUUGACUUUGUACUUCUGGAAAAGGUGAGCCACUGACAGAAUGUGCAUGUCAGCACCACUGCCUUCAAAAAAUCAUAUACUUAGAUAGUGGCUGAUGGACACUAUGUAAACUUGGAGUCAUGUUUGGAUUUUUCCUUCCUAUUCCCCUUGUUUCUCAAGGAAAGUUCAAUGGAGGACUAUGGAAUACUUGCAGGAGAGAAAGUAAAUGUAAAAGCUCAAGCAGAGUGCAGCCACCCAGGAGAUACUAUUGACCAGUAAACAUAGUUAAAUAUUUCCUUUUUUAUAUAGCUCUCAAUUAUUCUCCAGAAAUUAAAAUACUUUUUUUGUUGCUAUGCAAUAAACUUAACUCCAUGGCAUUGACCCCAUCAUGCAGCAACUACCUGUGAGGAAUUAAAGCGUUAGGAGCAUCGGUACCACGACUUACACAUGAGAGACAACAUGAUGUUGUCAAAUUCAUCUUUUUGAGGAACAUUCAGCAUCUCCUCAGUGCAGCUGACGGAAAAAAGAAAAAAAGCAGAGAACAGCUUGCAUUACCUUCUACUGUGGAUGAAAUCCCUGAAGAAAAAAAACAAAACAAAACCAACUAAAAACUGAACUAAACUCCUUUGCAAACAGGGGUGCUGACCAGCCGGGAAGGAAGCUGCAGCCAGGCCCCUGCACCACAGCAAUCACAAAACCACAGACAAGGAUCCUUCACUGCCAUGGAAAAAAAGACCUGGGCUGCAGUCAGUUCUUGGGGUUUUGGGUUUAGUCAUCCAACUGAAUGACCACAGUGAAUAAAACUACUUCUUUGCCUGUUUA
This is a long non-coding RNA of Columba livia (rock pigeon), 2336 nucleotides long. RefSeq lists it as uncharacterized. The record is from RefSeq and is a predicted model, not a curated record. Lineage: Eukaryota; Metazoa; Chordata; Aves; Columbiformes; Columbidae. The transcript has 2 exons.